Molecule: ribosomal RNA, 446 nt
Filed under: uncultured bacterium
Lineage: Bacteria
Description: partial 16S ribosomal RNA
Rfam family: Bacterial small subunit ribosomal RNA
Source: RNAcentral
CCUACGGGUGGCUGCAGUCGAGAAUCAUUCACAAUGGGGGAAACCCUGAUGGUGCGACGCCGCGUGGGGGAAUGAAGGUCUUCGGAUUGUAAACCCCUGUCAUGUGGGAGCAAAUUAAAAAGAUCGUACCACAAGAGGAAGAGACGGCUAACUCGGUGCCAGCAGCCGCGGUAAUACAGAGGUCUCAAGCGUUGUUCGGAAUCACUGGGCGUAAAGCGUGCGUAGGCUGUUGCGUAAGUCGUGUGUGAAAGGCGCGGGCUCAACCCGCGGACGGCACAUGAUACUGCGAGACUAGAGUAAGGGAGGGGGAACCGGAAUUCUCGGUGUAGCAGUGAAAUGCGUAGAUAUCGGGAGGAACACUCGUGGCGAAGGCGGGUUCCUGGACAUUAACUGACGCUGAGGCACGAAGGCCAGGGGAGCGAAAGGGAUUAGAUACCCUUGUAGUC